This 290-nucleotide ribosomal RNA is filed under the name uncultured bacterium. Its description in RNAcentral is "partial 16S ribosomal RNA". It matches the Rfam family "Bacterial small subunit ribosomal RNA", at positions 773 to 1060 of the family's 1533-position model. The record is from RNAcentral.
GUGGAUUAGAUACCCUGGUAGUCCACGCCGUAAACGAUGAUGACUAGCUGUCUGGGCGCUUAGCGUUUAGGUGGCGCAGCUAACGCGUUAAGUCAUCCGCCUGGGGAGUACGGCCGCAAGGUUAAAACUCAAAGAAAUUGACGGGGGCCUGCACAAGCGGUGGAGCAUGUGGUUUAAUUCGAAGCAACGCGCAGAACCUUACCAGCGUUUGACAUGUUAGGACGGUUUCCAGAGAUGGAUUCCUUCCCUUACGGGACCUACACACAGGUGCUGCACGGCCGUCGACAGCU